This is a long non-coding RNA of Gossypium arboreum, 826 nucleotides long. RefSeq lists it as uncharacterized. NCBI's taxonomy places the organism in Eukaryota, Viridiplantae, Streptophyta, Magnoliopsida, Malvales, Malvaceae. The record is from RefSeq and is a predicted model, not a curated record. The transcript is spliced from 4 exons.
GUAUACUGGCUUUUUUUUUGAAAACGUAUUUUACCCAAAACCAAAAAAUAACUUUUGCCGCUCGUUACUCCCUCUUUUUCUCAUCUAUGUCGCUUGCCCUAAAUCCCCCAAAUAAAAUUUAGCUACUCUUCUUUUCUCAAUCUGAAAUAAAAGAAAAAAAGAAACUGAAAAAGGCACAAAGGGUUUUUGGAAGCAAAGCAGAGCGAAGAACUGUGUGAAGCCAGAGCUAUCGAGCAUGUUCGAGUCUUAGCACAUGAAAUCGAUGGUCGUCAAGAAGGGCGUCAGGGUUUGAGAGAAGCAGCAGAGUAUAUUAAGGCACAGUUGGAAAGGUUGAAGGAGAGAGCUGGGUAAAAUUUCAGGAUGAUGCAAUAUGUGCCUUCCUAUACGCUAAUAAAUUUUGAAACUAGGAAACGAACUGAAGCACCUUCCUACUGGUUUUCUUCGAAUUCAAGGCAUUAGUGAUAAUAAGAUAUAUCAUUAUCGCUUAAAUAUUGGAAGAAGUGUUUCUACCAGAAGGCUGACUAGGUUACCUUCAAUUCCUAAGAAUGAUGCAAAGUUCAGGUUUUGAGUUUUUGUUGGGUGCAUGGUCCAGGAUUAGCUGAAUUCAUGCAUAAUGACGACUUGUUUAAGCUAACUGCUUAUCUUAAAGUGUGCACUCUAUCAUUAUUUUGUUCUAUUUGUAUUUUGUUAGAUUUCUAGUGUAGUAUGAUAAGUGCGGUAUUUUGUUUGAUUGUUAUUGAUAAACUUUUGCCUAGUGGGAUAUAUAUUUAUAUCAUAGAUAUUAUUCUUCUUCUCAAUAUUUUGAUAAUGAAUUUUAUUUUUUUUA